RNAcentral lists this ribosomal RNA (253 nucleotides) under uncultured bacterium. RNAcentral's name for it is "partial 16S ribosomal RNA". It matches the Rfam family "Bacterial small subunit ribosomal RNA", at positions 524 to 776 of the family's 1533-position model. The record is from RNAcentral.
GACAGAGGAUGCAAGCGUUAUCCGGAAUGAUUGGGCGUAAAGCGUCUGUAGGUGGCUUUUUAAGUCCGCCGUCAAAUCCCCGGGCUCAACCUGGGAACUGCAUUUGUGACUGCAAGGCUAGAGUACGGCAGAGGGGGAUGGAAUUCCGCGUGUAGCAGUGAAAUGCGUAGAGAUGUGGAGGAAUACCGAUGGCGAAGGCAGCCCCCUGGGAUGACACUGACGCUCAUGCACGAAAGCGUGGGGAGCAAACAGG